RNAcentral lists this ribosomal RNA (460 nucleotides) under uncultured bacterium. Its description in RNAcentral is "partial 16S ribosomal RNA". It matches the Rfam family "Bacterial small subunit ribosomal RNA", at positions 338 to 795 of the family's 1533-position model. The record is from RNAcentral.
CCUACGGGAGGCUGCAGUGAGGAAUAUUGGUCAAUGGACGAGAGUCUGAACCAGCCAAGUAGCGUGAAGGAUGACUGCCCUAUGGGUUGUAAACUUCUUUUAUAUGGGAAUAAAAUGUUCCACGUGUGGGAUUUUGUAUGUAACAUAUGAAUAAGGAUCGGCUAACUCCGUGCCAGCAGCCGCGGUAAUACGGAGGAUCCGAGCGUUAUCCGGAUUUAUUGGGUUUAAAGGGAGCGUAGGUGGAUUGUUAAGUCAGUUGUGAAAGUUUGCGGCUCAACCCUAAAAUUGCAGUUGAAACUGGCAGUCUUGAGUACAGUAGAGGUGGGCGGAAUUCGUGGUGUAGCGGUGAAAUGCUUAGAUAUCACGAAGAACUCCGAUUGCGAAGGCAGUUCACUGGACUGCAACUGACACUGAGGCUCGAAAGUGUGGGUAUCAAACAGGAUUAGAUACCCUUGUAGUC